CAACCUCUGGCGAUAAUCGUGAACGUUG
The submitters of this non-coding RNA (28 nucleotides) gave its source as unclassified sequences. The record is from Rfam.